GCUGGCGUAGCUCAAUCGGUAGAGCAACUGAUUUGUAAUCAGUAGGUUGCGGGUUCAAGUCCCAUCGCCAGCUCCA
Molecule: transfer RNA, 76 nt
Filed under: Desulfovibrio sp.
Lineage: Bacteria; Pseudomonadati; Thermodesulfobacteriota; Desulfovibrionia; Desulfovibrionales; Desulfovibrionaceae
Description: tRNA-Thr
Rfam family: tRNA
About the family: Transfer RNA (tRNA) molecules are approximately 80 nucleotides in length.
Source: RNAcentral